Molecule: ribosomal RNA, 832 nt
Filed under: Cantharellus subalbidus
Lineage: Eukaryota; Fungi; Basidiomycota; Agaricomycetes; Cantharellales; Hydnaceae
Description: LSU rRNA
Rfam family: Eukaryotic large subunit ribosomal RNA
Source: RNAcentral
GAGUGAAGAGGGAAGAGCUCAUCAUUGGAAUCUGGCAGUGUUGCACUGUCCGAGUUGUAGAUGAGGAGUAGUCCGUCUGGACUGCAUGGCGUCCAAGUACAAUAGGCCGUCAGUGGGACAUCAUAGAGGGUGACAAUCCCGUCCUUGACGCCAAUGUGCAAGUCUAUUACGAUGGCUAUCUCAGAGAGUCGAGCAGUUUGGGAUUUGCUGCUUAAACAUGGGAGGUAGAUUCCUUCUAAAGCUAAAUACAGGCGAGAGACCGAUAGAGAACAAGUACCGCAAGGGAAAGAUGAAAUAGCACUCUGUGAAGGGAGUCAAAAGGCGUGAAAUUGUUGCGAGAGAAGCGAUUCAAGUCAGCGUAGCUAGGCCCAUCAAGCGUCUUCGCUUUGGACUAGCUUUGCCAGCGGUCUUGUCCCUUCAAGAGACUUGACUUGUAAUAUGUCCAGCCUGGCGUGCACAGGCAGCCCCUUCUGGGGGCCAGUGGCAUGGCUGGUGGAAUGGCUUGCAAUCGACCCGUCUUGAAACACGGACCAAGGAGUCUAACAUGUAUGCGAGUAUAAGGGUGGCAAACCCGUAUGCGCAAUGAAAGUGAUUUUCGGUGAUUGAGAAUGGCCUGAUGACCAGACAAGCAAUAUAUGUCCCUCGUACGGCCAUUGCCCAAGUUCCGUGGUAGAUCCCACGAACAUGGAGUUGGAGCAUACAUGCUAGGACCCGAAAGAUGGUGAACUAUGCCUGGACAAAGCGAAGCCAAAGGAAACUCUGGUGGAGGCUUGUAGCGAUUCUGACGUGCAAAUCGAUCGUCUGAUCUGGGUAUAGGGGCGAAAGACUAAUC